This 479-nucleotide ribosomal RNA is filed under the name uncultured bacterium. Its description in RNAcentral is "bacterial SSU rRNA". It matches the Rfam family "Bacterial small subunit ribosomal RNA", at positions 30 to 507 of the family's 1533-position model. The record is from RNAcentral.
AUUGAACGCUGGCGGCAUGCCUUACACAUGCAAGUCGAACGGGCAGCACGGGAGCAAUCCUGGUGGCGAGUGGCGAACGGGUGAGUAAUAUAUCGGAACGUGCCCAGUCGUGGGGGAUAACGUAGCGAAAGCUACGCUAAUACCGCAUACGAUCUAUGGAUGAAAGCGGGGGAUCGCAAGACCUCGCGCGAUUGGAGCGGCCGAUAUCAGAUUAGGUAGUUGGUGAGGUAAAGGCUCACCAAGCCGACGAUCUGUAGCUGGUCUGAGAGGACGACCAGCCACACUGGAACUGAGACACGGUCCAGACUCCUACGGGAGGCAGCAGUAGGGAAUAUUGGGCAAUGGGCGCAAGCCUGACCCAGCCAUGCCGCGUGCAGGAAGAAGGCGUUAUGCGUUGUAAACUGCUUUUAUACAGGAAGAAACGACCCUUGCGAGGGGCAUUGACGGUACUGUAUGAAUAAGCACCGGCUAACUCCGUG